GGCUGGUCUGAAGGUAGUCAGUUAUUUUAAUUGACUGUUCACAGUCAGUUAUCUUAAUUGACUGUUCACAGUCAGUUAUCUUAAUUGACUGUUCACAGUCAGUUAUCUUAAUUGACUAUUCACAGUCACAGAUUGAACUCCUUGUUCUACUCUUUCCCCUCUUCUCAACAGGACACUUGACUAGUCUUUA
Non-coding RNA from Pongo abelii (Sumatran orangutan), 190 nucleotides. Lineage: Eukaryota; Metazoa; Chordata; Mammalia; Primates; Hominidae. The record is from Rfam.